Saccostrea cuccullata (small rock oyster) is the source of this 1519-nucleotide long non-coding RNA. RefSeq lists it as uncharacterized. The transcript has 10 exons. The record is from RefSeq and is a predicted model, not a curated record. NCBI's taxonomy places the organism in Eukaryota, Metazoa, Mollusca, Bivalvia, Ostreida, Ostreidae.
UUUGUUUCUAAGAAGUCAACUUAGAUUUUCAAAAAAAUGUAGGACUAUCUUUUGUUUUUCCUCUCUUUUACUUCGAUGAUUUUCCUACUGUGAAGCUUUUCUUGUAUAGAGCUCAAUUUCUCUAUGACCACGGAAGUAAGCAUCCUGAUGCAUUCUUGUCAUGUGAAUGUUGAGAGCGUGUUCAUUUUUGAAAUCUCCUUUCUGACAGACCUAUUUCACAGGAUCAGCUGAGAUGUUAUUUCACUGGAUUAUUUAAUGGAUAGACUUAUUGGGCAUAUAGUUGGAUAUCUCUGUCAUCAACAUGGAAGAUAUGUUUUGUUCCUAACCAUCUAUAAUCAAUUCUCUAUGAAGUUCAGACUGUCUGCUCUUCCUUUGGAAAUACAGUUAUAGUCAACCAACAUAGAAACACACAAACUUGAAGUCGGGUUCGGGUUCGGCGGCCAUGGCGAAUCUCGGCAAGAUUUUACCCCAGUGAAACAGGCUUGUAAUCCACCGUUCCUCAACCUGGAAGAUAUGUUUUGUUCCUAACCAUCUAUAAUCCAUUCUCUAUGAAAUGAAGCGUGCUGGCUGCUGGUCUUCCUUCGGAAAUACACAGGGAAAGAAAACUACUUGAGUGUUUCUACUGCCCCCGAGAUCUGCUUAUGAGUGCAUGGGGAUUGUGGUGGACCUUCUCUCCUGUUUAAAUAUACUUUGGAGGCUGGCGCAUGAAUCUUCAUUCACAAAAGGUAUCAACAGUAUGACUGUGGAAGUUCCAUUAUUCUUGGGAGUUAUGCCCAGCAACACAAACCAAUCAUGUCCAGCACGUACAUUGGAUCUGCUAACUUUACUUUAGGAUGCCUAGGAUUUUGAAAAUUCAGCAUGUUCAGGAAAUAAGACAUUUUAAUUGGUGAAUGAAGGAGAGAAAAAUUGCAAGGGAGGAGGUGUAUAGUUUACAUGGUGUAUUUUAAGUACUAUGACUAGGGUGAAGAAGGGGAUUUCACUUGGUUAACUGAGGCUUGGUUAACUGAGGAACAGAAACAACACAGCUCUGUGGUAUGGAUUAUUUAUGAAGAGUUAUCACAGGUCUGCAUAAACAGAUGAUUAACAGAUGAUUAAUACCUGGCCAUACCAAGUUUGAACCUGACCAUCCCCAUUUUGGAGUAUAGAAGCUAAAUUGGAGAAAGUUAAAUAAAGGAAUUUUAGCAGAGGGGAAAUUUAUUUUAUCAGAGAUAGCACAUUCUGUUCAUCAGUCAAGGAAACAUAUACACAGCCUUCUACAUAUUGUCCAGGACCAGAAGAAGCCAGUGGUGUUUUAUAAUUGAAAACCUCAGUGACAUCUCUUCAGAAUUUUUUCUAGACCUUUGAAAUUUUAACUAAAAAUCACAACAUUUAUAUAUAAAUAUAUAUCACAGAUUAAAAUUGUUAAGCUGUACAAAAGUUAUCAUUCCAGGAAAUUUGAAAAAAUACUGAUGCAUCUAUACUCACAUUAAAAACAUUUUAAUUGUUUAAUAUUGUUUUUUUUUUUGCUUGAGGGGAUGAG